UACGUAGGUGGCAAGCGUUGUCCGGAUUUACUGGGCGUAAAGCGCACGUAGGCGGCUUUGUAAGUUAGGGGUGAAAGCCCGGAGCUCAACUCCGGAAUUGCCUUUAAGACUGCAUCGCUUGAAUCCGGGAGAGGUGAGUGGAAUUCCGAGUGUAGAGGUGAAAUUCGUAGAUAUUCGGAAGAACACCAGUGGCGAAGGCGGCUCACUGGACUGGUAUUGACGCUGAGGUGCGAAAGCGUGGGGAGCAAACAGG
This 253-nucleotide ribosomal RNA is filed under the name uncultured bacterium. RNAcentral describes it as "partial 16S ribosomal RNA". It matches the Rfam family "Bacterial small subunit ribosomal RNA", at positions 524 to 776 of the family's 1533-position model. The record is from RNAcentral.